RNAcentral lists this ribosomal RNA (900 nucleotides) under uncultured bacterium. Its description in RNAcentral is "bacterial SSU rRNA". It matches the Rfam family "Bacterial small subunit ribosomal RNA", at positions 21 to 893 of the family's 1533-position model. The record is from RNAcentral.
GGCUCAGAACGAACGCCGGNGGCGUGGAUAAGACAUGCAAGUCGAGCGCUGAUUACGGGGUAGCAAUAUUCCGUAGUUGGAGCGGCGCAAGGGUGCGUAACACGUGGGCAAUCUACCGCGAAGUCUGGGAUAACUUGCUGAAAGGCGAGCUAAUACCGGAUGUGACAACUGGGGGGCAUCCUCUGGUUGUUGAAGUUGGGGACCGUAAGGCCUGACGCUUCACGAUGAGCCCGCGGCCUAUCAGCUAGUUGGUGAGGUAACGGCUCACCAAGGCUAAGACGGGUAGCUGGUCUGAGAGGACGACCAGCCACACUGGAACUGAGACACGGUCCAGACACCUACGGGUGGCAGCAGUCGAGAAUUUUUCACAAUGGGCGCAAGCCUGAUGGAGCGACGCCGCGUGGGGGAUGAAUGGCUUCGGCCCGUAAACCCCUGUCAUUUGCGAUCAAACGUUAUUAUUUAAAAGAUGAUGACCUGAUAGUAGCGAAAGAGGAAGGGACGGCUAACUCUGUGCCAGCAGCCGCGGUAAUACAGAGGUCCCAAGCGUUGUUCGGAUUCACUGGGCGUAAAGGGUGCGUAGGUGGUGGGGUAAGUCGGAUGUGAAAGCUCGGAGCUCAACUCCGAAAUGGCAUUGGAAACUACCCUGCUUGAGGGUCGGAGGGGGGACUGGAAUACUUGGUGUAGCAGUGAAAUGCGUAGAUAUCAAGUGGAACACCAGUGGCGAAGGCGAGUCCCUGGACGACUCCUGACACUGAGGCACGAAAGCUAGGGGAGCAAACAGGAUUAGAUACCCUGGUAGUCCUAGCCGUAAACGGUGCAUGUUUGCUGUAAAAGGAAUCGACCCCUUUUGUGGCGUAGCCAACGCGUUAAACAUGCCGCCUGGGAAGUACGGUCGCAAGA